AACGAACGCUGGCGGCAUGCCUAACACAUGCAAGUCGAACGAGACCUUCGGGUCUAGUGGCGCACGGGGGCGUAACGCGUGGGAACCUGCCCUUAGGUUCGGAAUAACUCCCCGAAAGGGGUGCUAAUACCGGAUAAUGUCUUCUGACCAAAGAUUUAUCGCCUUUGGAUGGGCCCUCGUUGGAUUAGCUGGUUGGUAGGGUAAAAGCCUACCAAGGCGACGAUCCAUAGCUGGUCUGAGAGGAUGAUCAGCCACACUGGGACUGCGACACGGCCCAGACUCCUACGGGAGGCAGCAGUGGGGGAUAUUGGACAAUGGGCGAAGGCCUGAUCCAGCAAUGACGCGUGAGUGAUGAAGGCCUUAGGGUUGUAAAGCUCUUUUACCCGGGAUGAUAAUGACAGUACCGGGAGAAUAAGCUCCGGCUAACUACGUG
Molecule: ribosomal RNA, 433 nt
Filed under: uncultured bacterium
Lineage: Bacteria
Description: partial 16S ribosomal RNA
Rfam family: Bacterial small subunit ribosomal RNA
Source: RNAcentral